UAGUCCACGCAGUAAACGAUGUUAACUAGGUGGUGGGGAUAUUAAAAUUUUCACUGCCGGAGCAAAAGCAUUAAGUAAUCCACCUGGGGAGUACGAUCGCAAGAUUGAAACUCAAAGGAAUUGACGGGGGCCCGCACAAGCGGAGGAACAUGUGGUUUAAUUCGAUGAUACGCGAGGAACCUUACCUGGGCUUAAAUGCAGAACGACGGAUCGGGAAAUUGAUCUUUCUUCGGACGGACUGCAAGGUGCUGCAUGGCUGUCGUCAGCUCGUGCCGUGAGGUGUCGGGUUAAGUCCCAUAACGAGCGCAACCCUCAUCAUUAGUUGCCAGCGAGUAAUGUCGGGGACUCUAAUGAAACUGCCGGUGUAAACCGAGAGGAAGGUGGGGAUGACGUCAAGUCAGCACGGCCCUUAUGUCCAGGGGCUACACACGUGUUACAAUGGGUCGGUAC
This 450-nucleotide ribosomal RNA is filed under the name uncultured bacterium. RNAcentral's name for it is "bacterial SSU rRNA". It matches the Rfam family "Bacterial small subunit ribosomal RNA", at positions 791 to 1240 of the family's 1533-position model. The record is from RNAcentral.